UACGUAGGGUGCAAGCGUUAAUCGGAAUACUGGGCGUAAAGCGUGCGCAGGCGGUGAUGUAAGACAGAUGUGAAAUCCCCGGGCUCAACCUGGGAACUGCAUUUGUGACUGCAUCGCUGGAGUGCGGCAGAGGGGGAUGGAAUUCCGCGUGUAGCAGUGAAAUGCGUAGAUAUGCGGAGGAACACCGAUGGCGAAGGCAAUCCCCUGGGCCUGCACUGACGCUCAUGCACG
This 231-nucleotide ribosomal RNA is filed under the name uncultured bacterium. RNAcentral's name for it is "partial 16S ribosomal RNA". It matches the Rfam family "Bacterial small subunit ribosomal RNA", at positions 524 to 755 of the family's 1533-position model. The record is from RNAcentral.